RNAcentral lists this ribosomal RNA (229 nucleotides) under uncultured bacterium. Its description in RNAcentral is "partial 16S ribosomal RNA". It matches the Rfam family "Bacterial small subunit ribosomal RNA", at positions 568 to 796 of the family's 1533-position model. The record is from RNAcentral.
UGCGCAGGCGGCUUAUUAAGUCAGUGGUGAAAUCUCUCGGCUCAACCGAGAAACUGCCAUUGAAACUGAUAAGCUUGAGAGUAGUUGUAGUAGGCGGAAUAUAGCAUGUAGCGGUGAAAUGCUUAGAUAUGCUAUAGAACACCGAUCGCGAAGGCAGCUUACUAAACUAUUACUGACGCUCAUGCACGAAAGCGUGGGGAGCAAACAGGAUUAGAUACCCUGGUAGUCC